RNAcentral lists this ribosomal RNA (1479 nucleotides) under Klebsiella pneumoniae. Its description in RNAcentral is "bacterial SSU rRNA". It matches the Rfam family "Bacterial small subunit ribosomal RNA". The record is from RNAcentral. Lineage: Bacteria; Pseudomonadati; Pseudomonadota; Gammaproteobacteria; Enterobacterales; Enterobacteriaceae.
UGAACGCUGGCGGCAGGCCUAACACAUGCAAGUCGAGCGGUAGCACAGAGAGCUUGCUCUCGGGUGACGAGCGGCGGACGGGUGAGUAAUGUCUGGGAAACUGCCUGAUGGAGGGGGAUAACUACUGGAAACGGUAGCUAAUACCGCAUAANGUCGCAAGACCAAAGUGGGGGACCUUCGGGCCUCAUGCCAUCAGAUGUGCCCAGAUGGGAUUAGCUAGUAGGUGGGGUAACGGCUCACCUAGGCGACGAUCCCUAGCUGGUCUGAGAGGAUGACCAGCCACACUGGAACUGAGACACGGUCCAGACUCCUACGGGAGGCAGCAGUGGGGAAUAUUGCACAAUGGGCGCAAGCCUGAUGCAGCCAUGCCGCGUGUGUGAAGAAGGCCUUCGGGUUGUAAAGCACUUUCAGCGGGGAGGAAGGCGNUAAGGUUAAUAACCUUGNCGAUUGACGUUACCCGCAGAAGAAGCACCGGCUAACUCCGUGCCAGCAGCCGCGGUAAUACGGAGGGUGCAAGCGUUAAUCGGAAUUACUGGGCGUAAAGCGCACGCAGGCGGUCUGUCAAGUCGGAUGUGAAAUCCCCGGGCUCAACCUGGGAACUGCAUUCGAAACUGGCAGGCUAGAGUCUUGUAGAGGGGGGUAGAAUUCCAGGUGUAGCGGUGAAAUGCGUAGAGAUCUGGAGGAAUACCGGUGGCGAAGGCGGCCCCCUGGACAAAGACUGACGCUCAGGUGCGAAAGCCGUUGGGGAGCAAACAGGAUUAGAUACCCUGGUAGUCCACGCCGUAAACGAUGUCGAUUUUUGGAGGUUGUGCCCUUGAGGCGUGGCUUCCGGAGCUAACGCGUUAAAUCGACCGCCUGGGGAGUACGGCCGCAAGGUUAAAACUCAAAUGAAUUGACGGGGGCCCGCACAAGCGGUGGAGCAUGUGGUUUAAUUCGAUGCAACGCGAAGAACCUUACCUGGUCUUGACAUCCACAGAACUUUCCAGAGAUGGAUUGGUGCCUUCGGGAACUGUGAGACAGGUGCUGCAUGGCUGUCGUCAGCUCGUGUUGUGAAAUGUUGGGUUAAGUCCCGCAACGAGCGCAACCCUUAUCCUUUGUUGCCAGCGGUNNGGCCGGGAACUCAAAGGAGACUGCCAGUGAUAAACUGGAGGAAGGUGGGGAUGACGUCAAGUCAUCAUGGCCCUUACGACCAGGGCUACACACGUGCUACAAUGGCAUAUACAAAGAGAAGCGACCUCGCGAGAGCAAGCGGACCUCAUAAAGUAUGUCGUAGUCCGGAUUGGAGUCUGCAACUCGACUCCAUGAAGUCGGAAUCGCUAGUAAUCGUAGAUCAGAAUGCUACGGUGAAUACGUUCCCGGGCCUUGUACACACCGCCCGUCACACCAUGGGAGUGGGUUGCAAAAGAAGUAGGUAGCUUAACCUUCGGGAGGGCGCUUACCACUUUGUGAUUCAUGACUGGGGUGAGCNAAAAAAAGGGG